UACGUAGGGUGCAAGCGUUAAUCGGAAUUACUGGGCGUAAAGCGUGCGCAGGCGGCUAUGCAAGACAGAUGUGAAAUCCCCAGGCUCAACCUGGGAACUGCAUUUGUGACUGCAUGGCUGGAGUACGGCAGAGGGGGAUGGAAUUCCGCGUGUAGCAGUGAAAUGCGUAGAUAUGCGGAGGAACACCGAUGGCGAAGGCAAUCCCCUGGGCCUGUACUGACGCUCAUGCACGAAAGCGUGGGGAGCAAACAGG
RNAcentral lists this ribosomal RNA (253 nucleotides) under uncultured bacterium. RNAcentral describes it as "partial 16S ribosomal RNA". It matches the Rfam family "Bacterial small subunit ribosomal RNA", at positions 524 to 776 of the family's 1533-position model. The record is from RNAcentral.